GAUGAACGCUAGCGGCAGGCUUAACACAUGCAAGUCGAGGGGUAUAGUAGCAAUACUAGAGACCGGCGCACGGGUGCGUAACGCGUAUGCAAUCUACCUUAUACAGGGGGAUAGCCCAGAGAAAUUUGGAUUAAUACCCCAUAGUGUUACGGAGUGGCAUCACACUGUAACUAAAGUUCCAACGGUAUAAGAUGAGCAUGCGUCCCAUUAGCUAGUUGGUGUGGUAACGGCACACCAAGGCAACGAUGGGUAGGGGUCCUGAGAGGGAGAUCCCCCACACUGGUACUGAGACACGGACCAGACUCCUACGGGAGGCAGCAGUGAGGAAUAUUGGUCAAUGGGCGCAAGCCUGAACCAGCCAUGCCGCGUGCAGGAUGACGGUCCUAUGGAUUGUAAACUGCUUUUGACAGGAAGAAACACUCCCUCGUGAGGGAGCUUGACGGUACUGUAAGAAUAAGGAUCGGCUAACUCCGUGCCAGCAGCC
RNAcentral lists this ribosomal RNA (484 nucleotides) under uncultured bacterium. RNAcentral describes it as "bacterial SSU rRNA". It matches the Rfam family "Bacterial small subunit ribosomal RNA", at positions 28 to 516 of the family's 1533-position model. The record is from RNAcentral.